UGCAAUCUCAGGUCUAAAGGAUACAUAUACCCAUAUCCACUCGGAACAAUUCUUGACAAGAGAGAGUCUAUCAAUUGGUCACGUUCAGUGAACGUACACUACCAUUCACCUGUAUACCAUACUAGUAUCUCUAUACUCUUUGGUUUGGAAGACAACUAACAAAUAUGAUACACAAUGACCUACGCCCGAUAAUACUAUCGUCCUAUUAAUAGUAUAUCAUACGGUCAUGAACAUUUAGGUGAAUGGUAUGAGCCCCCGGGUGGAGAGCCACGCUUCGUCACACGAUCACGCGUGAGAGCUCCCGGGAAUCGGAUAAUCUCCACUAAUCUUUUGCUUUGACACCAAAUAUCACAAAGCCCUCAGAUCCCGAGGAUUGUGUGAUUCAAAUAAAUAUGCAUAAAUCACAAUUUCUUGUGAUUUGAAGAUUGAGAUCAUAUCUCAACCAUAAUUGAGAUCAUAUCUCAACCAUAAAAGAGAUCAGAUCUCUUACCUUUAGAAGGAGGUUCCUUCAAGGAUGCUUCGCAGCCGCACAAGUGUCCGGCCUCGAUAAUUCGUCCACGCGAAGCUCUGGAAUCAUCAGCUUCCCGGGGAGUGCUGGCUCACAGGGAGGCAGAAGGUUGGCUGAAAGGGAGAAGAAGGAAGAAGAUGGACCUUCACAGCUCAAGAACUCCUUCUUGGGCUUUCACCUUCAGAACUACUCUCUCCUCUCACUCUCUUUCUCUGGUGCUCUUGAUCUAAAGAAGAAGGAAGAGGGGUGGCCUAUUUAUAGGCCAAGAAGAAGGUGAGGUGUCCCUAUGAGGUGUCCUGUGAGGUGUCCUGCCAGGACACAUGUCACACAUGCAAGAAAAAGAGGUGUUCUGCUCCGCCAUGUGUCACGCAUGCAAAGGGGUGAGGUGGCCUGGAGGGCGAUGUCAUGGAU
Molecule: long non-coding RNA, 919 nt
Filed under: Phoenix dactylifera (date palm)
Lineage: Eukaryota; Viridiplantae; Streptophyta; Magnoliopsida; Arecales; Arecaceae
Description: long non-coding RNA (PDAC_LNC007776)
Source: RNAcentral